Molecule: transfer RNA, 29 nt
Filed under: Hemibagrus guttatus
Lineage: Eukaryota; Metazoa; Chordata; Actinopteri; Siluriformes; Bagridae
Description: partial tRNA-Pro
Source: RNAcentral
AUGUACUAUAUCAUAGUGUUGAGUUAUGC